ACUGCUGCGGGCCCACCGUCUAUGACGCCUCGCACAUGGGGCACGCCAGGUCUUACAUCUCCUUCGAUAUCCUGAGAAGAGUGCUGAGGGAUUACUUCAAAUUCGACGUCUUCUACUGCAUGAACAUCACGGACAUUGACGAUAAGAUCAUCAAGAGAGCCCGGCAGAACUACCUGUUCGAGCGGUACCCGGAGACGCAACCCCCGGCAG
Molecule: long non-coding RNA, 210 nt
Organism: Capra hircus (goat)
Lineage: Eukaryota; Metazoa; Chordata; Mammalia; Artiodactyla; Bovidae
Exons: 3
Source: RefSeq, a predicted model, not a curated record